AACGAACGCUGGCGGCAUGCCUAACACAUGCAAGUCGAACGAGACCUUCGGGUCUAGUGGCGAACGGGUGCGUAACGCGUGGGAACCUGCCCUUAGGUUCGGAAUAACUCCCCGAAAGGGGUGCUAAUACCGGAUAAUGUCUUCGGACCAAAGAUUUAUCGCCUUUGGAUGGGCCCGCGUUGGAUUGGCUAGUUGGUAGGGUAAAAGCCUACCAAGGCGACGAUCCAUAGCUGGUCUGAGAGGAUGAUCAGCCACACUGGGACUGAGACACGGCCCAGACUCCUACGGGAGGCAGCAGUGGGGAAUAUUGGACAAUGGGCGAAAGCCUGAUCCAGCAAUGCCGCGUGAGUGAUGAAGGCCUUAGGGUUGUAAAGCUCUUUUACCCGGGAUGAUAAUGACAGUACCGGGAGAAUAAGCUCCGGCUAACUCCGUG
Molecule: ribosomal RNA, 433 nt
Filed under: uncultured bacterium
Lineage: Bacteria
Description: partial 16S ribosomal RNA
Rfam family: Bacterial small subunit ribosomal RNA
Source: RNAcentral